RNAcentral lists this unclassified non-coding RNA (192 nucleotides) under soil metagenome. Its description in RNAcentral is "partial internal transcribed spacer 1". The record is from RNAcentral.
ACCCUUCAAAAAACAGGGUGCGUCGCGGCCCCCCUCCGGGGGCGGUUUGGGGUCCUCCCCUUCACGCGCGCACGACUGCAUCCUUACUUUACGAGCACCUUCUGUUCUCCCUCGGCGGGGCAACCUGCCGUUGGAACCGAAUAAACCCUUUUUUGCAUCCAGCAUUACCCGUUCCGAAACAAACGAUCGUUA